Molecule: ribosomal RNA, 417 nt
Filed under: Gammarus sp. lacustris-type MS04
Lineage: Eukaryota; Metazoa; Arthropoda; Malacostraca; Amphipoda; Gammaridae
Also listed under: 4 other names
Description: partial 16S ribosomal RNA
Rfam family: Bacterial large subunit ribosomal RNA
Source: RNAcentral
GUGCUAAGGUAGCAUAAUCAUUUGCUAUUUAAUUGGUAGCUGGAAUGAAAGGUUAAACUAGCUUACUCAGUUUGUUGUGUUUUGUAAGAAAUUAAAGUCGAGGUAAGAAUUCUUUGAUCUGCUAGGGGACGAUAAGACCCUAGAAGCUUAACAAUAAGAGUAUUUAUUAGUUAUAAAAAUUAAUUUGUUUUACUGGGGCGGUAAAGGUAUAUAAACUAUUAGUGUAUUGAUAGAUCCUUAAAAUAAAGAUAAAACGGGAAAGUUACUCUAGGGGUAACAGUGCAAUAUUUUUGGAGAGAUCAUAUCGAUAAAAAUGUUUGCAACCUCGAUGUUGAAUUAAGAUGUCUACGUGAAGCAGCAGGUACGUGAGAGGGUUUGUUCAACCUUUAAAUUUUUACAUGAUCUGAGUUCAAACCG